Molecule: ribosomal RNA, 1422 nt
Filed under: Malacocephalus occidentalis (western softhead grenadier)
Lineage: Eukaryota; Metazoa; Chordata; Actinopteri; Gadiformes; Macrouridae
Description: SSU rRNA
Rfam family: Eukaryotic small subunit ribosomal RNA
Source: RNAcentral
UGAUCGCUCACCCGCUACUUGGAUAUCUGUGACAAUUCUAGAGCUAAUACAUGCAAACGAGCGCUGACCUCCGGGGAUGCGUGCAUUUAUCAGACCUAAAACCCGCGCGGGGUGCUGCCGCGUGGCGGCCCCCGGCCUGUUUGGUGACUCUAGAUAACCUUGGGCCGAUCGCUCGCCCUCGCGGCGGCGACGACUCAUUCGAAUGUCUGCCCUAUCAUCUUUCGAUGGUACUCUAUGUGCCUACCACGGGUAACGGGGAAUCAGGGUUCGAUUCCGGAGAGGGAGCCUGAGAAAUGGCUACCACAUCCAAGGAAGGCAGCAGGCGGGCAAAUUACCCAUUCACGACACGUGGAGGUAGUGACGAAAAAUAACAAUACAGGACUCUUUCGAGGCCCUGCAAUUGGAAUGAGUGUACUUUAAAUCCUUUGGCGAGUACCAAUUGGAGGGCAAGUCUGGUGCCAGCAGUCGCGGUAAUUCCAGCUCCAAUAGCGUAUCUUAAAGUUGCUGCAGUUAAAAAGCUCGUAGUUGGAUCUCGGGGCUGGGCUGACGGUCCGCCGAAAGGCGUGCCACCGACUGUCCCGGCCCCUGCCCUCAGCGCCCCCUCGAUACUCUUGGUUGAGUGUCUUGCGGGGUUCGAAGCGUUUACUUUGAAAAAAUGUUCAAAGCAGGCCCGGUUGCACGAAUACUGCAGCUAGGAAUAAUGGAAUCGGACUCCGGUUCUAUUUUGUGGGUUUUCUCAAUGGACUGGGGCCAUGAGAGGGACGGCCGGGGGCAUUCCGCUAGAGGUGAAAUUCUUGGACCGCCGCAAAAAGGACGAAAGCGAAAGCAUUUGCCAAGAAUGUUUUAAUUAAUCAAGAAGGAAAGUCGGAGGUCCAAAUACGAUCAGAUACCAUCGUAGUUCCGACCAUAAAUGAUGCCCGGGAAACCAAAGUCUUUGGGUUCCGGGGGGAGUAUGGUUACAAAGCUGAAACUAAAAGGAAUUGAUGGAAGGGCACCACUAGGAGUGGAGCCUGCGGCUUAAUUUGACUCAACACGGGAAACCUCACACGGCCCGGACACAGAAAGGAUUGACAGAUUGAUAGCUCUUUCUCGAUACUGUGGGUGGUGGUGCAUGGCCGUUCGUAGUUGGUGGAGCGAUUUGUCUGGUUAAUUCCGACAAUGAACGAGACUCUGGCAGACGUGCAGUCGCCCCCUGGCGUUCGAGCCCCACACCUCCUCACCUGGAGGCGGCUCCUGCUCGCGGAACUCAACCCGCCCUCCCGUUCGGGGCGGAGGGCCGGUCCCGACUGGAUACGCUCCUGACAAAAGCCCCCCCUCCCCCAGAUCGUUCUCGUGCCGCGCCGCCUCUGAGGUCAAAGACGGAGAGCGCGGGGCAGACGUCCGGGGAGGUCCUCCUCCGCAAACAGGGCCGUUGUCUCCGGA